Molecule: long non-coding RNA, 398 nt
Filed under: Parus major (Great Tit)
Lineage: Eukaryota; Metazoa; Chordata; Aves; Passeriformes; Paridae
Description: lncRNA (ENSPMJG00000015880.1)
Source: RNAcentral
GUGACCUUUGGCCACAACUGCAAUCAGUAAAAUUAUUUGAGGUGUUUGUAUUACCUCUGCUUGAUACUUGUGCUGCCUCUGGAUGGGCAGCAAAACAUCCGAUGUGAACUUGGGAAGAAACUAAAAGGUGCUCGGGAGUAAAAGAAGACUGAAGAAUAUCUUCAAAGUACAUGGUGACCAGAGAUGCCGCUCUAUCACCAGAAAGAGCCAUCUUCUGUGCACUUGUAUUUUCCAUGUAUGAUGAAGCAUCUGCUGCCUGCUUUCUUCAUUAUCAUCAUAAAGAGGGAGAGUUUAAAAGCUAGAAGGAUGGUGAAAGAGUGUAGCAUGAACUUGAAAGUAUUUACUUACAGAAUUUUGAACCCUCAUGCAGAAAAAGAAAUUGAACCUGCUGCUACCUG